UUGGUAUAAACCAUGGCCUACUCUAAUCACGGCCCAUCAGCUGGCUAUCUCCCUGUAGCCUAAAAUGAAUUGUGAUAGCUCCGCCCAUUCAUAGCCAGAGGGUCGUAGUCCCUCUCAAACUUUUCCAAAUUCCACGGCUUCUUUCCACCUUUUAAAAUUUUCUGAAAUUCUGCCAUUGCCGUGCUGAAGUUCUGACGCCAUGAUAUGCAUCGCUCUGCCAGGGUGUUUUAGUGUUUGGUAAGUAUUUGUUCCUUAAUUUUUUAUCCUUAAUUUUUCUUGAUAACAUUCAUAGGACAAAACGCCGACACAAUGCAAAUAAAAACAAGUAAAAUGGGACGCAAGUACUUUUCAGAGAGCUAGACCAAGCCGGGCACUGUCUGAGGCCCAGCACACAAUGUGUAAUUUAUGUCAAAAGCGGCUGAGGAUCUGGGGGAGCCAACUGAAGUAGAUUAGUAAGAACAGGAACUUACUUUUAGUAAUGGGCAGAGCAUUGAAUUUUACAUACGAACAACAACAACAUCAGCUUGUGCAUUAUGUUCUGAGUGUUUGUCGAGUUCUUCUUCAAAAACAUUUACUAAAGCUUUGACAGCAUCUGUCAUCCGCUCCUCGGAUUUACAUAGAUUAAUGACUUGUAAUCCUAUUAAAUUUUCGAUGUCCUUCAACUUUUUCUCCAGACCAUUAACGUGACGUCGAAGUUUUCUAACCAACAUUCUGUUGUUUUUCAAAGGAAUCUUUGAGAAUUUAGAUAUUUUUGUUUUGCUAAGUUUCACCAAUAUUCUCAUCUUUCGUAAUGGGUCUAUGGAUUUUAUAUUUCCUGUUGUUUUCAAGUCGUUGAUAUCCAUGACCUUUUCGGACAUUUCAGUAACAGUCUUACUUGCAUCAACUUCUUUCAUAACAUUGUGGUUCCGAGCGGAAUUUAUUAGUGAUACUACUUCUUCGUCCAUAAAGCCACUAUUAUGGUUGCUUGCAGGUGUUGAAGAUCGAUAAUUAGAAUACAAAUCUUGUUCAUAGUGA
This is a long non-coding RNA of Daphnia magna, 1014 nucleotides long. RefSeq lists it as uncharacterized. The transcript is spliced from 2 exons. The record is from RefSeq and is a predicted model, not a curated record. NCBI's taxonomy places the organism in Eukaryota, Metazoa, Arthropoda, Branchiopoda, Diplostraca, Daphniidae.